This 75-nucleotide transfer RNA is filed under the name Bacillota bacterium. RNAcentral describes it as "tRNA-Thr". It matches the Rfam family "tRNA". Rfam says of the family: Transfer RNA (tRNA) molecules are approximately 80 nucleotides in length. Their secondary structure includes four short double-helical elements and three loops (D, anti-codon, and T loops). The record is from RNAcentral. Lineage: Bacteria; Bacillati; Bacillota.
GCUGAUGUAGCUCAGUGGUAGAGCAGCGCACUCGUAAUGCGCAGGUCGUCGGUUCGAAUCCGACCAUCAGCUCCA